RNAcentral lists this unclassified non-coding RNA (231 nucleotides) under fungal sp. Its description in RNAcentral is "partial internal transcribed spacer region". The stretch from base 1 to 46 matches the Rfam family "Eukaryotic small subunit ribosomal RNA", at positions 1786 to 1831 of the family's 1831-position model. Lineage: Eukaryota; Fungi. The record is from RNAcentral.
AAGUCGUAACAAGGUUUCCGUAGGUGAACCUGCGGAAGGAUCAUUAGCGAAGUUUUGGGUUGGAUGAUUAAUCCGCCCAUAACCAAACACCAUGUGAACGAGGAUAUGUUGCUCUGCUGUGGUCACUUCGGUGGCUGCAGUGAGCCGACUCUAAACUAUGUGACACCACAUCAAACAAUACAAACUAUAAUAACUAUCAUACAACUUUUAACAAUGGAUCUCUAGGCUCCU